This is a long non-coding RNA of Loxodonta africana (African savanna elephant), 1969 nucleotides long. RefSeq lists it as uncharacterized. Lineage: Eukaryota; Metazoa; Chordata; Mammalia; Proboscidea; Elephantidae. The record is from RefSeq and is a predicted model, not a curated record. The transcript is spliced from 3 exons.
AGGGGAUUGGUCAGUUUUGCCAUCCCACCAGGCUUAAAAUGAGCCAUCCCAGAGGCUAGGAGAGGCGAUCUCACUACCAUCAAGAAAGCAGAGCCAGGAACAGAGCAUGAUGUCCUUUGGACCCGGUUCCCCCCUCUGAGAACCUCCAAGGCCCAGGAGACAGAGCAGUAACACUGAAGACACUGAGAGACGGAGGCACAGCAGUAGCAAGAAUGACAGCAGUGCAAAACACCUGUAGUAGAGCCUGCCAACCACAGAGCUAAGAGCUGUAACACUUGCCAGAGACGGCCCUGAGCAGGGCCCAAUGGCAGAGGACAAGAAGAAGCUGUCCUGAUCAAGAACUGUAUCCUGAGUUGUUCCUGUUACUUCUGAGUCAUUCCUGAUUGAGAGCUGUAUCUUGUUACUUUCCUUAUAAACCACUUAACUCUGCCUCCUAUUCGUCUGACCUCCAAUUCUUGGGACUUGAGCUAGCAGCCUACCUGGCGAUCUUGGGAUUCAUCAAUCUUCACAGCCCAUGAGCAAGAGUUCUGCUCUCCGACCUGCCAAUCUCAGGCUCACCAGCCCCUGCAGUUACGUGAAUCAGGAGAAGCCUUGCAGUCUUGCCUGCUGAUCUUGGGAUUCAUCAAUCUUCACAGCCUGUGAGCAAAAGCCCUGCUCUCUGACCUGCCAAUCUUGGGUUUGCCAGCCCAUGCGGCUAUAGGAAUCAGAAGAAGCCUCUAUCCUAACCCACAGAUUGGGGCAUUCCUGCCUCUACAAUCCCGUGAGUUCUCUGCACAUUGCCUGGGGUCUUCAAAGCUUGCAAGAGGCAUCCAAGGCACAAUUGGUCUCUAAUCACCUGGAGCAAUAAAUGAAGAAGAGUCAGAAACAGGAGGAGUAUAUGGAUGUGUGGCUAACUGCCUCCAUGAACAACUGCCUCCUUUGCCAUAAGACAAGAAGAACUAUAUGGUACCCAGCUACCAUUACUGAAAAUUUUGAUCAAAGAUUCUAUAGAAGAAUGCUAGUCCAAGCCCAUUGCCAUCGAGUUGAUUCCAACUCAUAAGGGCCCUAUAGGACAAAGUAGAACUGCCCCACAGGGAUUCCAAGGCUGUAAAUCUUUACAGAAACAGACUGCUACAUCUUUCUCCCAUGGAGCAGCUGGUUUGUUAGAACUGCCAACCUUUCUGUUAGCAGCCAAGCACUUAACUACUGUGCCACCAGGGCUCCUGAGACUCCUGAUCAAAAGGGAGAAACCUAAAAAAAAUUCAAAUUCUCAUGGAAUCCAGACUUUCUGAAGCCAAAGAAGCUGGAUGAACCCCUAAAACUGCUGCCCUGAGAUAGAUAGUCUUUAAACCUUAAACCAAAAAUAUCCUCUGAAGUCUUCUUAAAACCAAACAGUAGUUAAGCUUACUUAGUAAAGAAUGUCUGCCAUAGGAUCAAAGAGCAUCCUGAAAAUUAAAUAGGAACUUUAGGCAGCAGUGAGUUUAUGUUAAUAGGGAAGGAAGGGCUCAAAAAGGGAGGGUGAAAGAGGUUGCACAACCCAAAGAAUGUAUCAGUAUCACCGAAUUGUACAUGUAGAAACUACCGAAUUGGUAUAUGUUUUGCUAAGUAUAUCCUCAACAACAAAAAUAAAUAAAAUAAUUUUUUUAAACUAAUGUAAAUCUACUCAUUCUGUACUUAGCCCACUCAAGCAAACACAAUCUCCUUCAGAAAGUCUUCUUGGAUUACUCUAAGUCCAGUCUAUUCUCUCCUUUCUCUAGAUUGCCUGUAACAUACUAUCUUAUAUUUAGCUGUUCUCAAGCUAAUUAAGAAGUUAACUGAUUUGUAAGUUCUCCAAAGCAAGGAUAAAGACUAUGUUUUAGGCCCUUGUAUGGCCCAUAGUGCAGCAAAGAACAGAACUCAGAGCAAACUGGUUCAAUCUAAAUAUUUCCAGAGGACUACUGAUUAUUACUUAGGUUAGAUUCAAACAUAGCAAGAAACAAAACAAACAAGC